Microplitis demolitor is the source of this 1134-nucleotide RNA transcript. RefSeq lists it as uncharacterized. The record is from RefSeq and is a predicted model, not a curated record. Lineage: Eukaryota; Metazoa; Arthropoda; Insecta; Hymenoptera; Braconidae. The transcript is spliced from 6 exons.
AAACUCAAUAAUAAUAAUAAUAAUUACAAUAAAAAAAAUAAAAUAAGACUCAAGUGCGCUGUCAGACAUCGCAGUAAAAAUUUCCAAAAUGUCUCUGAAAUUAAUAAAUAAAUUUUUGAUAUUAAUUAUUAUGAAAUUAAUAUUAGCAAGAGCGAAUUUUCUGAUAGAAACUCCAGAUUGGUGGGAAAUAAAUUUCGACACAACUUUAUUUAGUAAAAUAAUUUGUGACGCGGUUCUUAUAAAUCCCCAGUUAUUUUUAGCCGAAGCCGAAUGUGUGCAAAAAGGGCUUAAUUUUAGUGACAAAAAUAUUUUCGUAAAUUACCAUCAUGUAAAAAGCGUGUAUGUGAACGUCACUGAGGUGAACAAAACAAAAAUUUUCUAUAAUGAAAAUUUGACCGGAAAUUAUGACAGAUCAAAGAGAAAUAUCGCGGCAUUAAUUACCGAGCAGCCGGUCGUUUCUUUGAAUUACGCAAAGUUGUCAACGACUGCGGUGGUUCUUUCGAUAGACUACCGAUGCCUGUACACUGAAAGCCAUUUAAUAAAAUUACUGGCUUCGAAAUUAGAUAAAAUUGAUCUGGAAAAUUGUUUCGUUCCUGUAUUCAAUGGCAAUAAGAUCGACGUCAGUCCAUGUAGAUUUUUGGCUGACAAAUUGUUUUGUUCUUAUAAUCAUACUGCAUUUAGAGAAAAAAAAUUAGAAAAUAUAAAAAAAUUUGUGUUCUGUUCAAAUAAAGAAGAAAAACUUACUGAUUUAGUGAUUGGAAUUUUAUCAGAAAAAAUUCUUGAUAAUAUGAUGACAUUUAAUGACUCAGAAAUACCUUCGGAAAUUUCGAUUGAAAAUAUUUUCCGGCAUAUUCCAAUAACGAGCUGUCGUGUCUCGCGAGUCUUGUGAUUUUAUAAUAUUUUUUUUCGCAGUUUUUCAAAGUACACCAACGCAGCCGAUAAACCAAUCACGUGGAAGUAAUUGCAUACUGACGACGACGAUAUUACUUUUUCCCAUGGCAACAGUUGUUUGAGGGAAAGCCCGCGGGAAAUAACCGAGAGCUUGGAGGAAAAAGUGGCAUCGCGGAAGCUGAGUAAUAAUGACAGUUAAACGAAGAGUAAAAAACGCGCCCAUACCCGAGAACACAACAAAAC